Molecule: non-coding RNA, 73 nt
Organism: Odobenus rosmarus divergens (Pacific walrus)
Lineage: Eukaryota; Metazoa; Chordata; Mammalia; Carnivora; Odobenidae
Source: the annotation of a RefSeq genome assembly
ACUUGGCUGGCUCAGUUGGGAGAGCAUGUGACUCUUGAUCUUAAGGUCGUGAGUUUGAGUCUCACGUCGAGUG